UACGUAGGGCGCAAGCGUUGUCCGGAAUUAUUGGGCGUAAAGAGCUCGUAGGCGGCUCGGUAAGUCGGGUGUGAAACCCCGGGGCUCAACCCCGGAACUGCAUCCGAUACUGCGUGGCUAGAGGUAGGUAGGGGAGAUCGGAAUUCCUGGUGUAGCGGUGAAAUGCGCAGAUAUCAGGAGGAACACCGGUGGCGAAGGCGGAUCUCUGGGCCUUACCUGACGCUCAGGCACGAAAGCUAGGGGAGCGAACAGG
This 253-nucleotide ribosomal RNA is filed under the name uncultured bacterium. Its description in RNAcentral is "partial 16S ribosomal RNA". It matches the Rfam family "Bacterial small subunit ribosomal RNA", at positions 524 to 776 of the family's 1533-position model. The record is from RNAcentral.